AUGAAGAUCAGACCACACUUCGGUACUUAGAAGUUUCAUGAUUACUCAAGGGAUUGGAUCUUGCAAGUCCCCAACCGAGGAGUUUCCCUCACUCGGGAACUUAGGGGAGCACUGUUUGUACCAUACUUGACCAAUCCCGAAACUACCGAGCACCGGCCAACGCUAUACUGUCAAGGACCCAGAAGAGUUCCCCUCCGACCAGGAGGUCAAUCACUACUCGACACGUGUCAAGAUUAGAAGCCAAUCAGAGCGCAGCACGUGUCGACAUCAAGAACCAAUC
Molecule: long non-coding RNA, 280 nt
Filed under: Malus domestica (apple)
Lineage: Eukaryota; Viridiplantae; Streptophyta; Magnoliopsida; Rosales; Rosaceae
Description: long non-coding RNA (MDOM_LNC020540)
Source: RNAcentral